Molecule: ribosomal RNA, 253 nt
Filed under: uncultured bacterium
Lineage: Bacteria
Description: partial 16S ribosomal RNA
Rfam family: Bacterial small subunit ribosomal RNA
Source: RNAcentral
UACGUAGGGGGCAAGCGUUGUCCGGAUUUAUUGGGCGUAAAGCGCGUGUAGGUGGCCCUGUACGUCCGCUGUGAAAACUUGAGGCUCAACCUCAAGCUGUCGGUGGAAACCACAUGGCUAGAGUCCGGAAGAGGAGAGUGGAAUUCCUGGUGUAGCGGUGAAAUGCGCAGAUAUCAGGAAGAACACCCGUGGCGAAAGCGGCUCUCUGGGACGGUACUGACGCUGAGACGCGAAAGCGUGGGGAGCGAACAGG